Hippopotamus amphibius kiboko is the source of this 465-nucleotide long non-coding RNA. RefSeq lists it as uncharacterized. The transcript is spliced from 3 exons. Lineage: Eukaryota; Metazoa; Chordata; Mammalia; Artiodactyla; Hippopotamidae. The record is from RefSeq and is a predicted model, not a curated record.
ACGCGCAGGCUUCGCUGCCAGCUUCCUUCCUGGAGAUGCAUCUGCCCUCGCACUCUGGAGCCCCCGACAUCCUCCACCUACCCGCGCUCUAAGCCCGCUCAACUUCCCCUGGGCCUCAAUCUCUGGAACGCCCACCCCGCCGCCCCCUCCCGGAUCCCUUUCGGAUCCACGCACCGCUGCGGGAGUCAGCAGGCACCGGGAGAAGCUCCCGGUUGGAUGACCAAGGCUGCAGCCUCGAAGGUCCGAAGGUGGUCAGGAGAGGUACCAAGAACGGCGUGACAGAGACAGGACCCGAAGGACGGGCCGCGGACCCUUCGCUUCCCGCCCGAGCCACUGGGGGCGUCGGCCGGGGGGUCGAGCCUAGGCCUGAGGCCGGGAUGGCGGCGGAUCCUGCAAGAGGUGUCCUCUUUUCCACGGGGGAAUACACAUGGAGGGAUCUGGAAUAAGGUCACUCAAGGAGAAGCG